UAAGGAAUAUUGGACAAUGGGGGCAACCCUGAUCCAGCCAUCCCGCGUGCAGGAUGACGGCCCUCCGGGUUGUAAACUGCUUUUAGACAGGAAGAACCGCCUUCAUUUAUGAGGGUUUGACGGUACUGUCAGAAUAAGCACCGGCUAAUUCCGUGCCAGCAGCCGCGGUAAUACGGAAGGUGCAAGCGUUAUCCGGAAUCACUGGGUUUAAAGGGUGCGUAGGCGGCUUGAUAAGUCAGAGGUGAAAGGUGUCGGCUUAACCGACAAAUUGCCUUUGAUACUGUCAGGCUUGAAAGAGGAUGAGGUUAGCGGAAUGUGGCAUGUAGCGGUGAAAUGCAUAGAUAUGCCAUAGAACACCAAUUGCGAAGGCAGCUAACCGGCCCUACUUUGACGCUGAGGCACGAAAGCGUGGGGAGCGAACAGGAUUAGAUACCCCCGUAGUCC
RNAcentral lists this ribosomal RNA (444 nucleotides) under uncultured prokaryote. RNAcentral describes it as "bacterial SSU rRNA". It matches the Rfam family "Bacterial small subunit ribosomal RNA", at positions 355 to 796 of the family's 1533-position model. The record is from RNAcentral.